AUUGAACGCUGGCGGCAGGCCUAACACAUGCAAGUCGAGCGGAUGAAGGGAGCUUGCUCCUGGAUUCAGCGGCGGACGGGUGAGUAAUGCCUAGGAAUCUGCCUGGUAGUGGGGGAUAACGUCCGGAAACGGGCGCUAAUACCGCAUACGUCCUGAGGGAGAAAGUGGGGGAUCUUCGGACCUCACGCUAUCAGAUGAGCCUAGGUUGGAUUAGCUAGUUGGUGGGGUAAAGGCCUACCAAGGCGACGAUCCGUAACUGGUCUGAGAGGAUGAUCAGUCACACUGGAACUGAGACACGGUCCAGAAUCCUACGGGAGGCAGCAGUGGGGAAUAUUGGACAAUGGGCGAAAGCCUGAUCCAGCCAUGCCGCGUGUGUGAAGAAGGUCUUCGGAUUGUAAAGCACUUUAAGUUGGGAGGAAGGGCAGUAAGUUAAUACCUUGCUGUUUUGACGUUACCAACAGAAUAAGCACCGGCUAACUUCGUG
Molecule: ribosomal RNA, 484 nt
Filed under: uncultured bacterium
Lineage: Bacteria
Description: partial 16S ribosomal RNA
Rfam family: Bacterial small subunit ribosomal RNA
Source: RNAcentral